GCUGAUGACCCCCACGCUUUUUAUUGACCAUUUUGCACGCAAACUGGAAAACCUGGCGUCGUCAUCUAUUCUUAAAGAGCAAGGCAACUAAGCCUGCAUUAAUGCCAACUUUUAGCGCACG
Molecule: unclassified non-coding RNA, 121 nt
Filed under: Escherichia coli O127:H6
Lineage: Bacteria; Pseudomonadati; Pseudomonadota; Gammaproteobacteria; Enterobacterales; Enterobacteriaceae
Also listed under: 1 other name
Description: sRNA, function unknown
Source: RNAcentral